Small nuclear RNA from Jaculus jaculus (lesser Egyptian jerboa), 107 nucleotides. NCBI's taxonomy places the organism in Eukaryota, Metazoa, Chordata, Mammalia, Rodentia, Dipodidae. The record is from Ensembl.
GUGUUUGCUUUGGCAGCACAUAUGCUAAAAUUGGAAUGAUUCAGAGAAGAUUAGCAUGGCCCCUGUGCGAGGAUGACAUGCAAAUUUAUGAAGUGUUCCAUGUUUUU